RNAcentral lists this ribosomal RNA (434 nucleotides) under uncultured Oscillospiraceae bacterium. Its description in RNAcentral is "partial 16S ribosomal RNA". It matches the Rfam family "Bacterial small subunit ribosomal RNA", at positions 341 to 792 of the family's 1533-position model. The record is from RNAcentral. Lineage: Bacteria; Bacillati; Bacillota; Clostridia; Eubacteriales; Oscillospiraceae.
ACGGAAGGCAGCAGUGGGGAAUAUUGGGCAAUGGGGGAAACCCUGACCUAGCAACGCCGCGUGAAGGAAGAAGGCCUUCGGGUUGUAAACUUCUUUUACCAGGGACGAUAAUGACGGUACCUGGAGAAAAAGCAACGGCUAACUACGUGCCAGCAGCCGCGGUAAUACGUAGGUUGCAAGCGUUGUCCGGAUUUACUGGGUGUAAAGGGCGUGUAGGCGGAGCUGCAAGUCAGAUGUGAAAUCCCGGGGCUCAACCCCGGAACUGCAUUUGAAACUGUAGCCCUUGAGUAUCGGAGAGGCAAGCGGAAUUCCUAGUGUAGCGGUGAAAUGCGUAGAUAUUAGGAGGAACACCAGUGGCGAAGGCGGCUUGCUGGACGACAACUGACGCUGAGGCGCGAAAGCGUGGGGAGCAAACAGGAUUAGAUACCCUGGUA